GGCUCUCUUUCAUUGUGUAUGUGUGUUCCUGUGUGUGUGUGUGUGUGUGUGUUCCUUGUGUGUUUGUGUGUGUUCAUUGGAUGGUGAUCAGCUUCGGAGCAGCCGUUGAAGCGUCGGACAGAAAGUUGUGAACUCAGCGAUGUGGAGACAAACAGGACGUGUUUGAGUUCAACAGACGUUCUACUGAUGACAACGCCCUCCUUGGCUCCGCCCACAUCAUGGCUGACAGGAAGUUCUCAGGUGUGCCUACUCCGUCCCUGCCUUCACCUGUUCACCACAGGAGGAUCGAAGGGGUGGCGCCCAAAAGUUCUCCUGCUCCUCAGCAGAACGGCAGCGUGGCACCAGAACCGACGUCCCCCCUGCGGACCCUUAGAGGCCUAGUGGGUUCUGGAUCUGAAGGCGGCUCCAGACCUCGAGGUCAGAGCCUCGGGACGGCCCUGAGCUCCAGGACCAGAUCCUCCAGAAACAAGGUACCAGUAAAAAUCCAUGACGUGCAGCUUAGCGGGGCAUCCUGGGAACUGGAGUUCCACCUUCAUGUUCCACCUUCAUGUUUCACCAUCAUGUUCUACCAAUAUGUUCCACCUUCAUGUUCUACCUUCAUGUUCCACCUUCAUGUUCCACCAGUUUGUUCCACCUUAAUGUUCCACUUUCAUGUUCUACCAAUAUGUUCCACCUUCAUGUUUCACCAUCAUGUUCUACCAAUAUGUUCCACCUUCAUGUUCUACCUUCAUGUUCCACCUUCAUGCUCCACCAGUAUGUUCCACCUUAAUGUUCCACUUUCAUGUUCUACCAAUAUGUUCCACCUUCAUGUUCCACCUACAUGUUCCAUCAUGUUCUACCACUAUGUUCCACUUUCAUGUUCCACCAAUAUGUUCCAUCUUCAUGUUCCACUUUCAUGUUCUACCAAUAUGUUCCACCAUAAUGUUCCACCUUCAUGUUCCACCUUCAUGUUCUACCACUAUGUUCUACCUUCAUGUUCCACCAGUAUGCUCCACCUUCAUGUUCCACCAUCAUGUUCUACCACUAUGUUCCACCUUCAUGUUCUACCAAUAUGUUCCACCUUCAUGUUCCAUCAUGUUCUACCGUCAUGUUCCACCUUCAUGUUCCACCAUAAUGUUCCACUUUCAUGUUCUACCAAUAUGUUCCACCUUCAUGUUCCACCUUCAUGUUCUACCACUAUGUUCCACCAUAAUGUUCCACCAGUAUGCUGCACCUUCAUUUUCUGCCAAUAUGUUCCACCUUCAUGUUCCACCAGUGUUUCACCUUCAUUUUCCACCAUCAUGUUCUAUCACUAUGUUCCACCUUCAUGUUCUACCAAUAUGUUCCACCUUCAUGUUCCAUCAUGUUCUACCAAUAUGUUCUACCGUCAUGUUCCACCUUCAUGUUUCACCAUAAUGUUCCACUUUCAUGUUCUACCAAUAUGUUCCACCUUCAUGUUCCACCUUCAUGUUCCACCAGUAUGUUCCACCUUCAUGUUCUACCCCUAUGUUCUACCUUCAUAUUCCACCAGUAUGUUCCACCUUCAUGUUCUACCCCUAUGUUCUACCUUCAUGUUCCACCAGUAUGCUCCACCUUCAUGUACCACCUUCAUGUUCUUCCACUAAGUUCCACCUUCAUGUUCCACCUUCAUGUUCCACCAAUAUGUUCCAUCUUCAUGUUCCACCUUCAUGUUCCACCUUCAUGUUCCAUCAGUAUGUUCUACCACUAUGCUCCACCUUCAUGUUCCACCAGUGUUUCACCUUCAUUUUCCACCAUCAUGUUCUAUCACUAUGUUCCACCUUCAUGUUCCACCAUGGGUUCUCUGAUCUAAUGUCUCCUCAUACUGCUGUGGAGAUUCUCAUCAUCAGGUCCUGGUGAUGGUAGGAGCUUCAGGAAAACCAACUGAAGGUUCUGGAAGACGUUCCACCUUCAUCCAAGGUUCUCAGGGUUAGGGCUAACCCAAAUUCUUAGUUUAUUAGUAGUAAUUUAUUCUUGUAUAUAAAGGUUUUCCUGCAGUUUAUUCUCCUAUAUAAAGGUUCUCCUGCAGUUUAUUCUCCUAUAUAAAGGUUCUCCUGUAGUUUAUUAUCCUAUGUAAAGGUUCUCCUGUAGUUGGUUCUCCCAUUUAAAGGUUCUCCUCUAGUUUAUUCUCCUAUACAAAUGUUCUACUGUAUUUAUUCUCCUAUGUAAAGGUUCUCCUGUAGUUUAUUCUCCUAUAUAAAGGUUCUCCUGUAGUUUAUUCUCCUAUAUAAAGGUUCUCCUGUAAUUUAUUCUCCCAUAUAAAGGUUCUCCUGUAAUUUAUUCUCCCAUUUAAAGGUUCUACUGUAGUUUAUUCUCCUACAAGAAGGUUCUCCUGUAGUUUAUUCUCCUAUGUAAAGGUUCUCCUGUAGUUUAUUCUCCUAUAUAAAGGUUCUCCUGCAGUUUAUUCUCCUAUAUAAAGGUUCUCCUGUAGUUUAUUCUCCUAUAUAAAGGUUCUCCUGUAGUUUAUUCUCCUAUAUAAAGGUUCUCCUGUAAUUUAUUCUCCCAUAUAAAGGUUCUCCUGUAGUUUAUUCUCCUAUAUAAAGGUUCUCCUGUAGUUUAUUCUCCUAUAUAAAGGUUCUCCUGUAAUUUAUUCUCCCAUAUAAAGGUUCUCCUGUAGUUUAUUCUCCUAUAUAAAGGUUCUCCUGUAAUUUAUUCUCCCAUAUAAAGGUUCUCCUGUAGUUUAUUCUCCCAUAUAAAGGUUCUCCUGCAGUUUAUUCUCCUAUAUAAAGGUUCUCCUGUAGUUUAUUCUCCUAUAUAAAGGUUCUCCUGUAGUUUAUUCUCCUAUAUAAAGGUUCUCCUGUAAUUUAUUCUCCCAUAUAAAGGUUCUCCUGUAGUUUAUUCUCCUAUAUAAAGGUUCUCCUGGAGUUUAUUCUCCUAUAUAAAGGUUCUCCUGUAGUUUAUUCUCCUAUAUAAAGGUUCUCCUGUAGUUUAUUCUCCUAUAUAAAGGUUCUCCUGCAGUUUAUUCUCCUAUAUAAAGGUUCUCCUGUAGUUUAUUCUCCUAUAUAAAGGUUCUCCUGUAGUUUAUUCUCCUAUAUAAAGGUUCUCCUGUAAUUUAUUCUCCCAUAUAAAGGUUCUCCUGUAAUUUAUUCUCCCAUUUAAAGGUUCUACUGUAGUUUAUUCUCCUACAAGAAGGUUCUCCUGUAGUUUAUUCUCCUAUGUAAAGGUUCUCCUGUAGUUUAUUCUCCUAUAUAAAGGUUCUCCUGCAGUUUAUUCUCCUAUAUAAAGGUUCUCCUGUAGUUUAUUCUCCUAUAUAAAGGUUCUCCUGUAGUUUAUUCUCCUAUAUAAAGGUUCUCCUGUAAUUUAUUCUCCCAUAUAAAGGUUCUCCUGUAGUUUAUUCUCCUAUAUAAAGGUUCUCCUGUAGUUUAUUCUCCUAUAUAAAGGUUCUCCUGUAAUUUAUUCUCCCAUAUAAAGGUUCUCCUGUAGUUUAUUCUCCUAUAUAAAGGUUCUCCUGUAGUUUAUUCUCCUAUAUAAAGGUUCUCCUGUAGUUUAUUCUCCUAUAUAAAGGUUCUCCUGUAGUUUAUUCUCCUAUAUAAAGGUUCUCCUGUAGUUUAUUCUCCUAUAUAAAGGUUCUCCUGUAGUUUAUUCUCCUAUAUAAAGGUUCUCCUGUAGUUUAUUCUCCUAUAUAAAGGUUCUCCUGUAGUUUAUUCUCCUAUAUAAAGGUUCUCCUGUAGUUUAUUCUCCUAUAUAAAGGUUCUCCUGUAGUUUAUUCUCCUAUAUAAAGGUUCUCCUGUAAUUUAUUCUCCCAUAUAAAGGUUCUCCUGUAAUUUAUUCUCCCAUUUAAAGGUUCUACUGUAGUUUAUUCUCCUACAAGAAGGUUCUCCUGUAGUUUAUUCUCCUAUGUAAACGUUCUCCUGUAGUUUAAGAGAAGAUAGUCCUUUAUUACUCCCCAUGUCAGGAGAAAUUACCCGUGUUACAGCAGCAAUAUACAGUAAAGAUAAUAAUUAUAAUAACAGAAAUAUGCACAAUAUAUACAAGCAUGAAGGAUAAAAAUGAAUAAAUAGAGUAUUACUGCACUAUAAAUAAAGUGUGGGUAUAAAUGCAGUGGGUGAAAGGAGUUGUCCCUGAUGGAUGUGAGCUUUGCCAACAUCCUCCUCCAUGGAGUCCAGGGAACAGUCCAGCACAGAACCGGACCUCCUCACCAGUCUGUUCAGUCUCUUUCUGUCCCUUUCAGAGCUCCCUGCUCCCCAGCAGACCACUGCAUAGAAAACAGCAGACGCUACCACAGAGUCAUAGAAUGUCCGGAGCAGAGUCCAGCUCCCAGAGUUGUAGUGGAAGUCCGAUGUGUACAGGAUGAAGAGAAAGGGAGAGAGCACUGUCCCCUGUGGGCCCCAUGCUGCUGACCACUACAUCAGAAACACAGUCCUGAAGCCUCACCUACUGUGGUCUGUUGGUGAGGUAGUGGAUGGUCCAAGCAGCCAGGUGAUCGUCUACUCCCACUCUCUCCAGCUUCACCCUGAGCAGAGAAGGCUGGAUUGUGUUGAAAGCACUGGAGAAGAACAUGACCCUCACAGUGCUGCCGGUGUUCUCCAGGGGCCUUUUUCACGAAGCAGGUUCAAGAAACUCUGAGUUUCUUCCUCAACUCUGAGUCGAUCUACUCUGAGAUAGAAAACUCUGAGUUUUCGGUUUCACAACGGCUGAUAUGAGUUGGUUUAAUUAACUCGGAGUAGUUUGACCCGGAGUUACGCGCGUGCACCGCAACUCUGAAAAGACAGCAUCAAUGGAGCCCCGAUUCGACGAGUCACCAUGGAAACGGGGAAGCGAAAGGCUGCGUUUUUGAACUGGAAGUUUUUAACGCGCUCAUAUGGCGAGUUUGAACACGUUUUUAGAAAGAAGUGCAACACCGCUGCAGCUGAAAAAGAGAGAGAGACGGCGUGGAGAACAGCCCGGAUCAAUGCGUAAGUUUAAAUGUAGUCCUUUGUAAUCGUAAUAAUAUUACAGGGAAUAACUGUCUGAAUGGUAGAAUAUUAAGUUAUUUCAUAUAAAAACUUCUAUUUGCAAAGAACCACAGCGCAACACACAAUAUCUGCUGGAUGUGAGAGCAUGACUGGUUGGUAAUGUAAAUGUAAGGACGGAUUAGGUUGUUUAUGUAGAUUAUGGACUUAAAACGAUUAGGAAACGGUACCGCUCAAACCGAUAAUUGUCCGGAAAUGCGAGAACAUUUAUGCUCGGUCUGAUAACAAUCUACCGACGAAUAUUUAAUGAUCUGUGCAGUAAUGCUGCUCCUUUAUCCACUGGAUCGUUAAUAAAAGCUGUUCUACGCCAAAACUCGCUCGCUUACUGACUGAAUGAAUGAGGAAAUGAAACAGCGUGUGGCUGAAAGAGGGCGGAGACGGAGAGAAACUGGAGGUUUUCUCAGAUAAACCUGCUGGUGACCAGGUUAGAGUCAUAGAGUCUGUUACUGCGGUAACCGACCGAGAGUUGAAGUUACCCCUCUUUGUGAAACAGGCUAGAGUUACCCCUCUGUCUCAGGGUUAAGUUACCUCGCUUCGUGAAACGGAAAACUCUGAGUUUCCCUCAUUUCAGGGUUAAGAAACUCAGAGUUUUCAGUGAACCUGCUUCGUGAAACAGGCCCCAGGUGAGUCAGCGAUCUGUGCAGUAGGUAGACGACUGCAUCAUCCACUCCAAUGUUCGGUUGGUAAGCGAACUGCAGUGGGUCCAGAUUAGGGCUCACCAGGGGGAGUAGAUUCCUGAGGAUGAUCCUCUCCAUGGUCUUCAUCAGAUGAGAAGUGAGGGCCACAGGUCUGAAGUGGUUUGGCUCCCUGGGGUUCCUGGUCUUUGAGACAGGAACCAGGCAGGAAGUCUUCCACAAAACAGGAACCCUCUCUAGACCCUAACCCAGUCCUGCAACGCCUCAGUGGCCUCGUCAGACCACUUCUUCACAUACCUUAUGGUGGGGGGUUGUUUCUUCACCUUUGGUAUGUAAAUGGGCCUCAGUCUCACCAGGUUGUGAUCUGAGCAGCCCAGCGGGGGAGGGGGAGGAGCUGUAUGCAUCUUUGAUGUUUGCAUACAGUAGGUCCAGGGUUUUACUGUCUCUGGUCUGGCACGUCACAUACUGGGUGAACGUAGGGAGAGUAGCAGAGAGCGAUGCAUGAUUGAAGUCUCCUGAGAUGAUAAUAAGAGACUGAGGGUGAGAUGUUUGCAGCUGGGACACUUCACUGUGGAUGAGUUCACAGGCUGCAGCCGCAUCAGAGGGAGGGAUAUACACAGUAACAGCUAUUACAUGUGAAAACUCCUGGGGCAGAUAGAACGGACGCAGACUGUUGGUCUACAUCCUCAGUGCAGAGCCGCUGUUUUACUCUAAUGUGUCCAGCAUUACACCACCUCUCAUUCACAUACAUGGUGAGGCCUCCACCCUUCCUCUUACCACUCUCCCUCGCGUUCCGGUCCGCUCUGACGAGAUGGAAUCCAUCCAGAGGUAAAAGGGAGUCCGGAGUGAGUUCGUUCAGCCGUGACUCCAUGAACAUCAAGAGGCUGCUCUCCCUAUACUCCCACUGCAGCGUGGUCAUCGCCAUAAACUCUUCUAUCUUAUUCAGGAGAGACCUCACAUUCCCCAUUAUUACAGAUAAUUUAUUCUCCUGUAUAAAUUUUCUCCUGUAUAUAUGUUCUCCUGUAGUUGGUUCUUGUUCUAUUCUUGGGAUGAACCAGUUUUUGUCUCAGAGUGGUUCUGGGUCUGAAGAACCCUGGGAUGUUCUCUUUGGAGUUCUUCAGAUACUCCAGCUACAUUUGGUAGAACAACGUGGUUCCUCUUCUUUCCUUCGCUGUUUGUUAUCUUUUCUAUAUCUUUUCUGGAGUUGAUGAAGGUCCAGGUAGCCACAGUUCCUCACAGCUUUCUUUCUCCUUUCCUUCUGCAUUGGAAGGAACGUUCUCAGCCCGGUUCUUUGAGGUUCUGAUGAACCCAGAUGAUGUUCCAGUGCAUGGUGGGAAUCUAACAGCAGAUCCUGGUCUGUGUGGAGGUUUCUUGUAGAUUUCAACGUUGAGGUUUGCAUUCUCCUCAACAUGCAGAGCAAAGUCCACAAACAGCAGCUGGUUGUCCUUCAUGCCGCCCUGGUGAUGUUGUUGUCCACCCAGUUGAUACUCUCCAUGAAGGUUCUACUUCUGGGGCUUUUAUUCUGACCCAGGUGUUGUCCAUAUCUCUGAACCAGUGGCUGGAGAUGUUCCUCUAAACAAUCUCAGAGCUCUGUUCUCCUCCACAGUGGGUGAACCUGGAGAUCCAGUGGUACAGCUGAUCUUCUGUCUGUAGAUGCUUUGUUCUAGGUGAAGGAAGAGGUGGUCAGGCAGAGAUCCAGCAGCAGGAGGAGGUUGGUUCUGACAUGCAGGAGGUGUUUUCUGACUCUCCACUGGCUCUGAUGUGAUCUGUACUAAAACCAGGGUUUCAUCCUGGACCCGUUUCUCUCUGAACUUUGCUUCAGUGGAGCUCCAGAUGUUUCAGUGCUAAAACUGAUGCUCAGUAAGUUGCAUUAUUGCAGAUGAUGGUCUGAGUGGUGCUCCUCCUGGUCAUGCUUCAGGUCCUCUUCAGAAGGUCAUGCAUCAUGGUAUGUCCUCUUCAGGGUGGAGUCUCCAGCUGUUAGAGGUCUAGGACCUUCUUCUGGGUCUGUUUGUGGGAUCUCCACUCAGGUCCUCACAGGUAGAAGUGCUGAGGAAAGUUGUUGUGUUCCAGUGGAAGUCGUUGGCGUUAAGGACCACCAUUCAUCUUCCAGCAGAAUGAUGAUCUGAGUCUCUCCUGCCUGUCAGACUCACGUCCUUUGUUGUGUAAACUGGAAGCUCCCCCACCAUAGUCGGUUUCACAGCAGUCCUACCUGGAGACAAGCGAGUCCUGGUGGUUAGUGGACAUCAGCCAGGUGAGCUGGAGGGACUCUAAACUCUGGAACCCCCCAUCAGUCGGUCAAAACUGAAGAACAACCUUGGAUGAAGGUGGGACGUCGUCAAGAACCUACUAGAGAAGUCCUGAUGUUUCAACUGAACCUCCAAAGAUUGGUCUCCAUCUUGUUGUUUUUUUAUGCUUUUUUGUCUCCAUCUUGUUGUUUUUUGAUGGAUUUUGUUCCCGUCUUGUUGCUGUAGCAUCGCAGCAGCCAGCAGGAGGAGCCCGAGGCCUUGUUGGACCUGAUCCUGGAGUCUCAGUGUCAGAGGCUGGAGGACCAGAGAGCCAGUCUCAGCCUGCUGCCAGACCCAGAACCAGCUGCUCUUUGCAGGGCCUGCAGCCCGGACCAGGCCGAUCUGGACUUCUACUACAUGCUGAUCCAGUACCAGUCGGACAGGAUGGAGGACCAGCGCUGCUCCCUUCCAGAUCUUGAGGAUGUUCUGGGUCCGGUUCCGGAGGGUCAGGAGGACUUCUUCAGUCUGGUCCAGAGGGUCCAGUCCAGGAGGAUGGACGAGCAGAGAGCCUCAAUGCUGCUAAGACACUCGGAGGACGAGGACGCUCCGACAGGCUCCGCCCCCCGACAACAUCAUGGAUGUCCCCGCAGGAACCAAGUGGUCUGACUGCUUCUAGUGGGUCUGGACCUGCUCCUCAGGACCAGAGCCAGAUGGUGCUGAUGGACCUUUUCUGUUUGGAUCCUGUUCUUAGUUCCCAGAAUCCUCCUGGUCCCAGAACCAGGUCCUGCUUCAGGUGUAGGGACAUCAUGAGGUCCAAAUCCUGGUUCAGAUUCUGAGUGAAUUGCUCCUCAGCUGUCCCUGACAGAACCUCAGAGUCCAGUCCUGGGGUUCUGCAGAAGAACAGUGUUUAUAUAGAAAGAUGUGGACUUUAUCAUUAAUUCAUUUUCUAGUUUGGGUUCUUAUUUUUUGUUACUAAUAUAUUCUACUGAUAUCUGUCAUGUUUCUGAAACCAGAACUUCCUUCAGGAUAAAUAAAGUUCUACUGGAUCUUAAUAA
RNA transcript from Acanthochromis polyacanthus (spiny chromis), 8864 nucleotides. It is a transcript of the gene named G protein signaling modulator 1a, with no coding region annotated. The record is from RefSeq and is a predicted model, not a curated record. The transcript has 8 exons. NCBI's taxonomy places the organism in Eukaryota, Metazoa, Chordata, Actinopteri, Pomacentridae.